Molecule: ribosomal RNA, 465 nt
Filed under: uncultured bacterium
Lineage: Bacteria
Description: partial 16S ribosomal RNA
Rfam family: Bacterial small subunit ribosomal RNA
Source: RNAcentral
CCUACGGGAGGCAGCAGUGGGGAAUUUUGGACAAUGGGCGCAAGCCUGAUCCAGCUAUUCCGCGUGUGGGAUGACGGCCCUCGGGUUGUAAACCACUUUAGUAGAGAACGAAAAGGAGCUAUCGAAUAAAUAGCUCUGCUGACGGUACUCUAAGAAUAAGCACCGGCUCACUACGUGCCAGCAGCCGCGGUAAUACGUAGGGUGCGAGCGUUAAUCGGAAUUACUGGGCGUAAAGGGUGUGCAGGCGGCUGAGUAAGACAGAUGUGAAAGCCCCGGGCUUAACCUGGGAACCGCAGAUGUGACUGCUUGUCUAGAGUGCGUCAGAGGGAGGUGGAAUUCCACGUGGAGCAGUGAAAUGCGUAGAUAUGUGGAAGAACACCGAUGGCGAAGGCAGCCUCCUGGGACGCAACUGACGCUCAUACACGAAAGCGUGGGGAGCAAACAGGAUUAGAUACCCGGGUAGUC